AGAGUUUGAUCCUGGCUCAGGGUGAACGCUGGCGGCGUGCCUUAGGCAUGCAAGUAGAACGGACCGAGCUUGCUCGGUAAGUUGCGAACGGCUGAGUAACGCGUAAGUAUCUACCUUUUAGUGGGGAAUACCUCCGAGAAAUCGGAGCUAAUACCGCAUAAUAUCUACGGAUGAAAGGGCUUAACUGCCCGCUGAUAGAGGAGCUUGCGUACCAUCAGUUUGUUGGUGGGGUAACGGCCUACCAAGACUACGACGGUUAGGGGAUGUGAGAGCAUGAUCCCCCAGAAUGGCACUGAGAUACGGGCCAUACACCUACGGGUGGCAGCAACUAGGAAUCGUGCGCAAUGGACGAAAGUCUGACGCCGCGACGCCGCGUGUGGGAUGACGGUCUUUGGAUUGUAAACCACUUUUGUCCGCCAAGAAAUGGGCGGAAGAAUAAGCACCCGCUAACUACGUGCCAGCAGCUGCGGUGAUACGUAGGGUGCAAGCGUUACCCGGAUUUAUUGGGCGUAAAGAGUUUCGUAGGCGAUUGGGAAAGUUAUAUUUCAAAUCCCGAGGCUCAACCUCGGAAAGGAGUGUAAUACUACCCGAAUUGAAGAAUCUAAGGGCUACCGGAACUAUCGGUGUAGGAGUGAAAUCCGUUGAUAUCGAUAGGAACACCAAGGGCGAAGGCAGGUAGCUGGGGAUUUCUUGACGCUGAGGUACGAAAGCCAGGGGGGCGAAAGGGAUUAGAGACCCCUGUAGUCCUGGCCGUAAACAAUGCUCGCUAGCCAUAGGUCUCGCCCUUUUUUCAAUUUCUUAAGUAGGAAAAAAUGCAAUUAUAUUUCUGUUAGGUUUUAGUUUUUACUUAAGUUUUAGUUUAAUUAUUGAAGAAAGAGCGAGAUCUGUGGCGUAAGCUAACGCGUUAAGCGAGCCGCCUGGGGAGUACGAACGCAAGUUUAAAACUCAAAGGAAUUGACGGGGACCCGCACAACCAGUGGAGCACGUGGUUUAAUUCGAGACGAACCGAAGAACCUUACCUGGAUUUGACAUACUAGGCAUUUAGUUUUUCAGAAAUGAGAGAUGAUUCGUGAUUUCAUGAAACCUAGUACAGGUGGUGCAUGGCUGUCGUCAGCUCGUGUCGUGAGGUGUUCCCUUCAGUGGGGUAACGAGCGCAACCCUUGCCAUAUGUUGAAUAUUCAUAUGGGACUACCCCGUUUUACGGGGAGGAAGCGAGGACGACGUCAAGUCAGCAUGUCCCUUAUAUCCAGGGCGACACACAUGCUACAAUGGGACCGACAAUGGGUUGCCAAGCCGUAAGGCGGAGCUAAUCCCAUCAAACGGUCUCUCAGUUGGGAUUGAGGGCUGAAACCCGCCCUCAUGAACUUGGAAUUGGUAGUAAUCGCGGAUCAGCCAAGCCGCGGUGAAUACGUUCUCGGGUCUUGUACACACCGCCCGUCAAGUCAGCAAAGUUGGGGGCACCCGAAUCUCGAUUGUAUCGGGAGAAGGUGAAACCAGCGAUGAGGAUUAAGUCGUAACAAGGUA
RNAcentral lists this ribosomal RNA (1524 nucleotides) under uncultured Microgenomates group bacterium. RNAcentral describes it as "bacterial SSU rRNA". It matches the Rfam family "Bacterial small subunit ribosomal RNA". The record is from RNAcentral.